ACGCUGGCGGCAGGCCUAACACAUGCAAGUCGAGCGGCAGCACGGGUACUUGUACCUGGUGGCGAGCGGCGGACGGGUGAGUAAUGCCUAGGAAUCUGCCUGGUAGUGGGGGAUAACGCUCGGAAACGGACGCUAAUACCGCAUACGUCCUACGGGAGAAAGCAGGGGACCUUCGGGCCUUGCGCUAUCAGAUGAGCCUAGGUCGGAUUAGCUAGUUGGUGGGGUAAUGGCUCACCAAGGCGACGAUCCGUAACUGGUCUGAGAGGAUGAUCAGUCACACUGGAACUGAGACACGGUCCAGACUCCUACGGGAGGCAGCAGUGGGGAAUAUUGGACAAUGGGCGAAAGCCUGAUCCAGCCAUGCCGCGUGUGUGAAGAAGGUCUUCGGAUUGUAAAGCACUUUAAGUUGGGAGGAAGGGCAGUUACCUAAUACGUAUCUGUUUUGACGUUACCGACAGAAUAAGCACCGGCUAACUCUGUGCCAGCAGCCGCGGUAAUACAGAGGGUGCAAGCGUUAAUCGGAAUUACUGGGCGUAAAGCGCGCGUAGGUGGUUUGUUAAGUUGAAUGUGAAAUCCCCGGGCUCAACCUGGGAACUGCAUGCAAAACUGGCAAGCUAGAGUAUGGUAGAGGGUGGUGGAAUUUCCUGUGUAGCGGCGAAAUGCGUAGAUAUAGGAAGGAACACCAGUGGCGAAGGCGACCACCUGGACUGAUACUGACACUGAGGUGCGAAAGCGUGGGGAGCAAAC
RNAcentral lists this ribosomal RNA (747 nucleotides) under uncultured bacterium. Its description in RNAcentral is "bacterial SSU rRNA". It matches the Rfam family "Bacterial small subunit ribosomal RNA", at positions 33 to 773 of the family's 1533-position model. The record is from RNAcentral.